GGGCCCGCACAAGCGGUGGAGUAUGUGGUUUAAUUCGAUGCAACGCGAAGAACCUUACCAGGGUUUGACAUCCUGCGAAUCUCUUGGAAACAGGAGAGUGCCUUCGGGAACGCAGUGACAGGUGGUGCAUGGCUGUCGUCAGCUCGUGUCGUGAGAUGUUGGGUUAAGUCCCGCAACGAGCGCAACCCACGUCUUUAGUUGCCAGCAUUUAGUUGGGCACUCUAGCGAGACUGCCGGUGAUAAGCCGGAGGAAGGCGGGGAUGACGUCAAGUCCUCAUGGCCCUUAUGGGCUGGGCUACACACGUGCUACAAUGGCAGUGACAGAGGGACGCUACCUCGCGAGAGGACGCAAAUCUCGAAAAGCUGUCUCAGUUCGGAUUGUUGUCUGCAACUCGACAACAUGAAGUCGGAAUCGCUAGUAAUCGCGUAUC
This 431-nucleotide ribosomal RNA is filed under the name uncultured bacterium. Its description in RNAcentral is "bacterial SSU rRNA". It matches the Rfam family "Bacterial small subunit ribosomal RNA", at positions 917 to 1350 of the family's 1533-position model. The record is from RNAcentral.